Molecule: ribosomal RNA, 427 nt
Filed under: uncultured bacterium
Lineage: Bacteria
Description: bacterial SSU rRNA
Rfam family: Bacterial small subunit ribosomal RNA
Source: RNAcentral
GGGGAAUUUUGCGCAAUGGGGGAAACCCUGACGCAGCAACGCCGCGUGAGUGAUGAAGGCCUUCGGGUCGCAAAGCUCUGUCAGAGGGGAAGAAAUGCAGGGGUGCUAAUAUCAUCUUUGCUUGACGGUACCCUCAAAGGAAGCACCGGCUAACUCCGUGCCAGCAGCCGCGGUAAUACGGAGGGUGCGAGCGUUGUUCGGAAUUAUUGGGCGUAAAGCGCGUGUAGGCGGUUUGGUAAGUCUGAUGUGAAAGCCCCGGGCUCAACCUGGGAAGUGCAUUGGAAACUGUCAGACUUGAAUACGGGAGAGGGUAGUGGAAUUCCUAGUGUAGGAGUGAAAUCCGUAGAUAUUAGGAGGAACACCGGUGGCGAAGGCGGCUACCUGGACCGAUAUUGACGCUGAGACGCGAAAGCGUGGGGAGCAAACA